This is a long non-coding RNA of Herpailurus yagouaroundi (jaguarundi), 795 nucleotides long. RefSeq lists it as uncharacterized. The transcript has 3 exons. Lineage: Eukaryota; Metazoa; Chordata; Mammalia; Carnivora; Felidae. The record is from RefSeq and is a predicted model, not a curated record.
UACUGAACCUAAAGUAAUAAGCAGAAAUUCAUAGGGAUUCCAUUUCUUCCUUGAGGGUUUUAUUUAAUUAUUAUUAAUAUUUUUUUACAGUAUUGCACCCUUGGGCUUCAAGUCAGCAGCCUGAAAGGAUGAGAGGUGACAAAGGUCUGCUCCAUGGGCUAGGAAAGAUGCCUGGGUAUGAAAAUACUGGCUUGGGAAAGAAUUGAAUCUAGAAGCUGGGACCACAAACUCUGAGAAGACAAGAUGUUGCAUGACAGAGGCAACAUCUCGACCCCUGAAUUUCUGCUGGAGGAAGAGUUCCCAAAGAAAGCUUCCUGAUCCACACUAAACUGUAGUAUGAGCAAGAAAUCAAUCUUUGUUGUGUUAAUCCAACUAGAUUUAAGGCAUUAUUUGUUAUUGCAACAUGGUUAGUUGACCCUAACUAGUAAAAUUUUCAUGAUCUGUCAUUAUAGUCAUUCUUCUGCAUACACUAUAAACCUUCUUUUUUUUCCCCCCUGUAAGGUUUUCUCCAAUUAAAUUCAUGUCAUUGCUUACUCAACCCCUCCCCCAAGCAGCUAUAUAUGGCUGGAGGUGGGGCACUGACUCAGCAACAAUGCCAAUUGAUUUCUUUUCUAAAUCCGUAAACGCGAACUUCAAGUGGUUCCUUGUGCUUCUUAGCUGUUCACCUAGCUUUUUUUUCUUUAAUUUAUUCUCCAAUUUCCAAAGCCACUCUUUCAAAAUCUCUUCACUUUCCUCAAAUCAACACCUCCUCUCCCAAAUUUAUUCUCAGCUGAUAACUUGCUUCAUAUUUUACUG